RNAcentral lists this ribosomal RNA (211 nucleotides) under Bacteroides caecigallinarum. RNAcentral describes it as "partial 16S ribosomal RNA". It matches the Rfam family "Bacterial small subunit ribosomal RNA", at positions 1 to 196 of the family's 1533-position model. The record is from RNAcentral. Lineage: Bacteria; Pseudomonadati; Bacteroidota; Bacteroidia; Bacteroidales; Bacteroidaceae.
UUUUACAAUGAAGAGUUUGAUCCUGGCUCAGGAUGAACGCUAGCUACAGGCUUAACACAUGCAAGUCGAGGGGCAGCAUGAACUUAGCUUGCUAAGUUUGAUGGCGACCGGCGCACGGGUGAGUAACGCGUAUCCAACCUUCCGUUUACUCGGGGAUAGCCUUUCGAAAGAAAGAUUAAUACCCGAUGGUAUGGUAAGAUUGCAUGGUAAU